Molecule: ribosomal RNA, 492 nt
Filed under: uncultured bacterium
Lineage: Bacteria
Description: partial 16S ribosomal RNA
Rfam family: Bacterial small subunit ribosomal RNA
Source: RNAcentral
AGUGAACGCUGGCGGUAGGCCUAACACAUGCAAGUCGAACGGCAGCACAGUAAGAGCUUGCUCUUACGGGUGGCGAGUGGCGGACGUGAGAGGAAUACAUCGGAAUCUACUUUUUCGUGGGGGUUCACGUAGGGAAACUUAAGCUAAUACCGCAUACGCCCUACGGGUGAAAGCCGUGGAACUUCGGACCUUGUGCGAUUGAAUGCGCCGAUGUCGGCUUAGUUAGUUGGCGGGGUAAAGGCCCACCAAGGCGACGAUGCGUAGCUGGUCUGAGAGGCUGGUCGCCCACACGAGAACUUAGACAGGGACCAGAGGCCUGCGGUAGGCACCAGUGGGGAAUAUGAGACAAUGGUCGCAAACCUUAUCCAGCCAUACCACGUGUGUUACGAAAGCCCUCGGUUUGUAAAGCCCUUCUGUUGGUAAAGAAAAGCAUCAGGUUAUUACCCCGCGGUUCUGACGGUACCCAAAGAAUAAGCACCGGCUAACUUCGUG